RNAcentral lists this ribosomal RNA (481 nucleotides) under uncultured bacterium. RNAcentral describes it as "partial 16S ribosomal RNA". It matches the Rfam family "Bacterial small subunit ribosomal RNA", at positions 29 to 523 of the family's 1533-position model. The record is from RNAcentral.
AAUGAACGUUGGCGGCGUGGGUUAGGCAUGCAAGUCGAGCGAGAACCCAGCAAUGGGGGACAGCGGCGUAAGGGACAGUAAUGUGUAGAUUAUCUGCCCUCGGGACCGGGAUAGCUGCGGGAAACUGCAGGUAAUACCGGAUAACAUCUCCGGAUCAAAGGUGUGAUUCCGCCCGAGGCUGAGUCUGCAUCCUAUUAGCUAGUUGGCAGGGUAAUGGCCUACCAAGGCUUUGAUGGGUAGCGGGUGUGAGAGCACGACCCGCGUCAUUGGGACUGAGACACUGCCCAGACACCUACGGGUGGCGGCAGUCGAGAAUCUUCGGCAAUGGGCGCAAGCCUGACCGAGCGACGCCGCGUGUGGGAUGAAGGCCUUCGGGUUGUAAACCACUGUUAGAGGGGAUGAAAUGCAGGUGGGUUCUCCCAUCUGUUUGACAUAGCCUCAGAGGAAGGACGGGCUAAGUUCGUGCCAGCCGCCGCCGUAA